Molecule: ribosomal RNA, 496 nt
Filed under: uncultured bacterium
Lineage: Bacteria
Description: partial 16S ribosomal RNA
Rfam family: Bacterial small subunit ribosomal RNA
Source: RNAcentral
GAUGAACGCUGGCGGCGUGCCUAAUACAUGCAAGUCGAGCGAACAGAUGAGGAGCUUGCUCCUCUGACGUUAGCGGCGGACGGGUGAGUAACACGUGGAUAACCUACCUAUAAGACUGGGAUAACUUCGGGAAACCGGAGCUAAUACCGGAUAAUAUAUUGAACCGCAUGGUUCAAUAGUGAAAGACGGUUUUGCUGUCACUUAUAGAUGGAUCCGCGCCGCAUUAGCUAGUUGGUAAGGUAACGGCUUACCAAGGCAACGAUGCGUAGCCGACCUGAGAGGGUGAUCGGCCACACUGGAACUGAGGCACGGUCCAGACUCCUACGGGAGGCAGCAGUAGGGAAUCUUCCGCAAUGGGCGAAAGCCUGACGGAGCAACGCCGCAUGAGUGAUGAAGGUCUUCGGAUCGUAAAACUCUGUUAUUAGGGAAGAACAAAUGUGUAAGUAACUAUGCACGUCUUGACGGUACCUAAUCAGAAAGCCACGGCUAACUACGU